CUGGCGCACGGGAGGCAACCUGGUGGGUAAUGGCGAACGGGUGAGUAUAUAUCGGAACGUGCCCAGAUCGUGCGGGGAUAACGUCAGCGAAAGCUGUGCUAAUACCGCAUACGAUCUACGGAUGAAAGCGGGGGAUCGCAAGACCUCGCGCGAUUGGAGGCGGCCGAUAUCAGAUUAGCUAGUUGGUGGGGUAAAGGCCCACCAAGGCGACGAUCUGUAGCUGGUCUGAGAGGACGACCAGCCACACUGGAACUGAGACACGGUCCACACUCCUACGGGAGUGCAGCAGUGGGGAAUUUUGGACAAUGGGCGCAAGCCUGAUCCAGCAAUGCCGCGUGCAGGAUGAAGGCCUUCGGGUUGUAAACUGCUUUUGUACGGAACGAAACGGUGAGCUCUAAUAAAGUUUGCUAAUGACGGUACCGUAAGAAUAAGCACCGGCUAACUACGUGCCAGCAGCCGCGGUAAUACGUAGGGUGCGAGCGUUAAUCGGAAUUACUGGGCGUAAAGCGUGCGCAGGCGGUUAUGUAAGACAGAUGUGAAAUCCCCGGGCUCAACCUGGGACCUGCAUUUGUGACUGCAUAGCUAGAGUACGGUAGAGGGGGAUGGAAUUCCGCCGUGUAGCAAGUGAAAAUGCGUAAGAAUAUGCGGGAGGGAACACCGAAUGGCGAAGGCAAUUCCCCCUGGAACCCUGUACUUGACAGCCUCAUUGCACGAAAGCGUUGGGGAGCCAAACAGGAUUUAAUUACCCUUGUAGUCAACGGCCCUAAACGAAUUCUCACUGGGGUGCUGGGUCUCACAUUGACUCCGUAAAAAACUAACCCUAAUUGACGCCGGGGAGUACGCC
Molecule: ribosomal RNA, 844 nt
Filed under: uncultured beta proteobacterium
Lineage: Bacteria; Pseudomonadati; Pseudomonadota; Betaproteobacteria
Description: bacterial SSU rRNA
Rfam family: Bacterial small subunit ribosomal RNA
Source: RNAcentral